UGAAUACGAGAUGCUACGGCGUCGAAGCAGUCUAUGUCAUACUUCCAAGAAAAGCUUGCACUGUCAUAAACAAAUAAUGCCUGUACCAUAACCGAUACAGGUGGGUAGGUAGAGUAUACUAAGGGGCGCGAGAUAACUCUCUCUAAGGAACUCGGCAAAAUGACUCCGUAACUUCGGGAGAAGGAGUGCCUUAUUUUAUAAGGUUGCAAUAACAAGAUCCAAGCAACUGCUUACCAAAAACACAGGUCUCCGCUAAGUCGUAAGACGAUGUAUGGGGGCUGACGCCUGCCCAGUGCCAGAAGGUUAAAGAAGUUGGUUAGCAUCCGCGAAGCUGAUAACUGAAGCCCUGGUGAACGGCGGCCGUAACAAUAACGGUCCUAAGGUAGCGAAAUUCCUUGUCGGGUAAGUUCCGACCCGCACGAAAGGCGUAAUGAUUUGGAUACUGUCUCAGAGAGGGGCUCGGUGAAAUAGACUUGUCUGUGAAGAUGCGGACUACCUGCACCAGGACAGAAAGACCCUAUGAAGCUUUACUGUAACUUGAAAUUGAAAUUGGACUUUACUUGCGCAGUAUAGGUGGGAGGCGUUGAGAAUAUUCUUGCGGGAAUGUUGGAGCCAUCAGUGAGAUACCACUCUUGUAAUGUUAGAUUUCUAACUUUGUAUCAUUAUCUGGUCAAAGGACAGUUUCAGGCGGGCAGUUUGACUGGGGCGGUCGCCUCCCAAACGGUAACGGAGGCGCACAAAGGUUUCCUCUGAACGGGUAGAAAUCGUAUCUAGAGUGUAAAGGCAUAAGGAAGCUUGACUGUGAGACCUACAAGUCGAGCAGGGACGAAAGUCGGUCUUAGUGAUCUGACGGUGCUGAGUGGAAAGGCCGUCACUCAACGGAUAAAAGUUACUCUAAGGAUAACAGGCUGAUCUCCCCCAAGAGUUCACAUCGACGGGGAGGUUUGGCACCUCGAUGUCGGCUCAUCGCAUCCUGGGGCGGUAGUACGUCCCAAGGGUUGGGCUGUUCGCCCAUGAAAGCGGUACGCGAGCUGGGUUCAGAACGUCGUGAGACAGUUCGGUCCAUAUCCGGUGUAGGCGUUAGAAUAUUGAGAGGAGCCUUCUUUAGUACGAGAGGACCGAGAAGGACAUACCUCUGGUGUACCAGUUAUCGUGCCAACGGUAAACGCUGGGUAGCUAUGUAUGGAGUGGAUAACCGCUGAAAGCAUCUAAGUGGGAAGCCCACCUCAAGAUAAGUA
Molecule: ribosomal RNA, 1238 nt
Filed under: metagenome
Description: bacterial LSU rRNA
Rfam family: Bacterial large subunit ribosomal RNA
Source: RNAcentral